AGUGGCAAACGGGUGAGUAACACGUAGGCAACCUGCCGACAGGAUGGGGACAACAUUCCGAAAGGAAUGCUAAUACCGAAUGAAAUCCGAGGAGGGCAUCCUCCCCGGCUCAAAGAAGGCCUCUUUACAAUGCUAUCGCCUGUCGAUGGGCCUGCGUCCCAUUAGCUAGUUGGAGAGGUAACGGCUCACCAAGGCGAUGAUGGGUAGCCGGCCUGAGAGGGUGAACGGCCACAAGGGGACUGAGACACGGCCCUUACUCCUACGGGAGGCAGCAGUGGGGAAUAUUGGACAAUGGACCUAAAGUCUGAUCCAGCAAUUCUGUGUGCACGAUGACGUUUUUCGGAAUGUAAAGUGCUUUCAGUUGGGAAGAAAAAAAUGACGGUACCAACAGAAGAAGUGACGGCUAAAUACGUGCCAGCAGCCGCGGUAAUACGUAUGUCACAAGCGUUAUCCGGAUUUAUUGGGCGUAAAGCGCGUCUAGGUGGUUAUGUAAGUCUGAUGUGAAA
Molecule: ribosomal RNA, 506 nt
Filed under: uncultured bacterium
Lineage: Bacteria
Description: bacterial SSU rRNA
Rfam family: Bacterial small subunit ribosomal RNA
Source: RNAcentral